CGUGCCCGCGAUCGAACGGCCCAGAUUCGUUCCCCCGCAAACGGACAGCCCAAAUGCGUUCCCUCCGCAAACGUGAUCGAACGGUCCAGGUUAUAUCGCGAUGGAUAGUUCAGAUUAGAUCACGAUGAACGGCCCAGACUCACUCCCUAUUUAAUCACGAUCGGACGGUUUACAUCAAACGCGAUGGACGACCUAGAUCAAGUAGAU
RNAcentral lists this long non-coding RNA (207 nucleotides) under Carica papaya (papaya). Its description in RNAcentral is "long non-coding RNA (CPAP_LNC001469)". Lineage: Eukaryota; Viridiplantae; Streptophyta; Magnoliopsida; Brassicales; Caricaceae. The record is from RNAcentral.